GGGGGAAAUUGAAGCCACGAUCCUAAACCGGGCGUCCGAAGCCCGUUCGCCAACAAAAUCAACUAAACACCAAACGAACGAAUCGAGAAGCAGAAUCCAAUUGUUAAUAUAUUGGAUAAAAAGCCAAUGUAAUAAAACCUACUUUCAAAGUGAAUGAGUUUAGAUAAUGGAUGAAUGUUUUUAUUGCUAUUUUAACAAGAUGAGAUAUAUCGAGCAGGGAAUUGUAUUCGGAAACGGAAAGAAGUCAGCAACGAAUAUCAGACAUGGUAUUGUGACGCCUGCUGUUUUACGGAUACUAAAAUUGA
This 305-nucleotide unclassified non-coding RNA is filed under the name Melitaea cinxia (Glanville fritillary). Its description in RNAcentral is "misc RNA ENSMCXG00005009841.1". The record is from RNAcentral. Lineage: Eukaryota; Metazoa; Arthropoda; Insecta; Lepidoptera; Nymphalidae.